RNAcentral lists this transfer RNA (74 nucleotides) under Deferribacterales bacterium. RNAcentral describes it as "tRNA-Arg". It matches the Rfam family "tRNA". Rfam says of the family: Transfer RNA (tRNA) molecules are approximately 80 nucleotides in length. The record is from RNAcentral. Lineage: Bacteria; Pseudomonadati; Deferribacterota; Deferribacteres; Deferribacterales. RNAcentral also lists the same sequence under 1 other name.
GCCCUUGUAGCUCAGGUGGAUAGAGCAAUGGAUUCCUAAUCCAGAGGUCGUACGUUCAAAUCGUAUCAAGGGCA